Non-coding RNA from Oryza sativa Japonica Group (Japanese rice), 2889 nucleotides. Lineage: Eukaryota; Viridiplantae; Streptophyta; Magnoliopsida; Poales; Poaceae. The record is from RefSeq and is a predicted model, not a curated record.
CGGAAAGCAUUGUCUUUCUCUAGUUUUGCAUCUGCCGUCUCCGACGAGGCGACGAGGCGGCGGGUGGCGGCGCCUCCGCCGGCGUACGGCUGCCCGGACGCUUUCGUCUCCGGUGCUCGCCUAAUGUGACAGGGAUAUGCAGCUAGGUUUUGAGUUGUUAUCGUGUUCCCACUGACACUACUUUAUGAUCAUAAGAAACAUCAAUAGCAAUACUUCCUGAUACCAGCCCAAUAGAAGGAGAUGAUGAAGCCAACUACAAAAGAAACUGUUGCAACCCAUGUAGUUGACCUGAAGUCAUCUUCAGUGCUAGCCAUAUUGUAUUGACUGUCAGAGUCUUCUGUACAUAUUGUGAGACCUGGAUUGCCAGAUACAUCAACCUUUACCCCUCUAGGCAACUCAGGCAUGGGGCCAGAGAGCUGGUUAUAGCAAAGAGACAAGUAGAUCAAUCCCUUCAGGUUUGCAAACGAGGAUGGCACCUGACCGGACAAGUGGUUGUCUGAAAGAUCAAGUAACAGCAAGUUACUUAAAGCUCCAAUGCUGGAUGGAAUAGACCCCUGGAGAUGGUUGUGACUUAGUAUAAGAGCACCGAUUUUGGUUGGCAUUGUAGGAAUGGUUCCUGUCAGCUGAUUGUUCCCGAGAUCGAGGGUGCUGAGAAACUGCAGAGAGCUGAUCGAAGGUGGGAUCACACCACUGAAAUUGUUGCCAUGUAAAUCGAGAUAACAGAGCUUGGACAAUAGGACCAAUGUUGAAGGUAUCUCUCCAGAGAAUGAGUUCGCACUAAGGUUAAGUACUUCCAUAUUUGUCAUACCAGAAAAUAUUCUUGGGAUAUAUCCACUGAAAUUGUUGGUUUGGAGCUUGAUGACCUCAAGUUGCUGAAGAUUUCUCAGCUCAUCAGGGACAACACCUUGCAGCUUGUUUGUUGACAGAUCCAUGAGCACCAUGUUAUUGCAUUUGCCGAGUUGUGAGGGUAUAGGUCCACUUAGCUGAUUGUCAUCCAACUCCAGGUAAGCCAAUCUGAUGGCAUUACCUAUUGAUUCAGGGAUGCUCCCGCUUAGCAAGUUGCAACCGAGUCUCAGGUGGUAGAGGCUCCGAGAGAAAUUCCCAGGAAUGAGCCCUUCAAGCCUAUUGGCAGUGAGGUCAAUGGUCUCCAAACUAUCUGGUGAGAGGAGAUCAGAGGGCAUCUCACCAUUGAGCAUGUUGUAACUCAAAUCCAACAUUCUAAUGUUCUUGGUGAUUCCUUGAGGAAUUGAGCCAGAAAGUUUGUUCUCAUUACUUGCAAACCGAAACAAUGUGGUGACAUUCAGCAAGCUCUGUGGAAUUUUCCCUGUCAGGUUGUUUUCUGAAAGGAGCAAAAUCCUGAGUUUUGGGAAGCUCAAGAAGCCAUCUGGGACGUCAUCAACUAGAUUAUUCUGGCUUAGGUCCAACAGAGUAAUAUUCCCAUAUCUGAACAAACCCAUCGGAAUUCUACCACUGAAAUUAUUACCGGAGAACACCAGUUCUUCCAAAGAGGUAACCAUGCUUGUAGGGAUAGGGCCUUCAAAGCCAUUGGAACUAAGGUUCAAGCUUCUCAGUUUUGGCAAAUAAUUCAGCUGGGUACUUAUGUUGUCAUUUAAAGAGUUGAAGGACAAAUCAAGAACCUCUAGCUCAUGAAAACCGGAGAAAUUGCCAAGAUGACUGGAUAGCCUAUUGUAGCUGAGAUCGAGCACUUGCAAUUCUGCCUUCAUGGGGCAAGGAGAGAAUUGGCUUGGCAAGUCAGUGAAGGAGUUUCUAGAGAGAUUAAGGGAGUGUAAUGUAUCAAGAAGGCAUAUAGAUGCAAGGAUGGUGGCAUUGGAGAGGCCAUAUCCGGGGAGGGAGAGCCUGGUGACAAAAGAAGAGGAUGCAGCAGAAGUGCAAUGAACCCCACUCCAUUCGCACGGAUUUGAGCUGGUGUUCCAGCUCUUGGUGAGAGAUGAAUCCAUGGCACUACUGACCAAGCCCAGGAUAUCUCGCAUGAUGUUCUCUUGUGCCUUGUUCAGUUGCAUUGGCGAUUUCUCGGUGGCCGCAGCCAUCGACACGCUCAGAAGAAAGGUCAGAAACAGCAAGCACAGGCUGCUACUGCUAGCAGGAGCGCGGUGCCGACUGAUCACCUCCAUGGCUACUUCUCAGUUCUCUCUCCACUCUCCUCGGCAACUCUGUCGAUUCAAGAUAUCGACUGGUUACAUCUGAAGUACACUGGUGCAAUUUUCAGUUAGUUGCUUAUGUGAAGUUGUGAAUUAUACAUAUAUAGAGAUUGCAUUAGAGGGAAAUGCCAAAGAGUCAUCCAGGAAGGGGUCAAAAGUUUGCUUUCACCACUUUACCUUGUGUGACACUGUAAAUUUUUUUAUGGCGUGUGAAUGGAGCAGAGCAGAGAACACUCACCGUUCAGUGUGACUUGCACUGAUUUCACCUGGCAGAUGGAUCCAUUCAGGAUGUUGUGGCCGUCGGCAUCACAUUUGACACCAGCACUGGCUUAGCCUUUGUCCCUUUUUACUGGGCUUGUGGCUACUGAAAUAAUUUGAGCUGGUUUGGAGGAACGGUCAAGAUAAGAGAUGACUUGCAAAGAAACGGGUGAAAAGGCACCAUAAAGAUGAUAUCAAUAUUUACCUUUUCAAAAGAACUCCAUACUAUCAGGUUGCCCUUUCAUGGAAGGAGCAAAAUCCUGAGUUGUGGAAGCUCAAGAAGCCCGUCUGGGACGUCACCAACUGGAGUAGAUUAUUCUGGCUGAGGUCAUCCAAGAGAGGAACAUUUUUUUUAAAAAAAAAGUUAGAACUUUCAUUGCUCACUACUCUCUUGGUAAAAAAAAAAAAGGCCUAGGUUAGAUUUUUCUGGGACGGAGGCAGUUGAGAUAUGCAAGAGAGGAAGAUUUCCAUA